This 253-nucleotide ribosomal RNA is filed under the name uncultured bacterium. Its description in RNAcentral is "partial 16S ribosomal RNA". It matches the Rfam family "Bacterial small subunit ribosomal RNA", at positions 524 to 776 of the family's 1533-position model. The record is from RNAcentral.
UACGAAGGGGACUAGCGUUGUUCGGAAUCACUGGGCGUAAAGCGCACGUAGGCGGAUGUGUCAGUCAGGGGUGAAAUCCCGGGGCUCAACCUCGGAACUGCCUUUGAUACAGCACGUCUCGAGUCCGGAAGAGGUGGGUGGAAUUCCUAGCGUAGAGGUGAAAUUCGUAGAUAUUAGGAAGAACACCGGUGGCGAAGGCGGCCCACUGGUCCGGUACUGACGCUGAGGUGCGAAAGCGUGGGGAGCAAACAGG